Long non-coding RNA from Homo sapiens (human), 258 nucleotides. RefSeq lists it as uncharacterized. The transcript is spliced from 3 exons. The record is from RefSeq and is a predicted model, not a curated record. NCBI's taxonomy places the organism in Eukaryota, Metazoa, Chordata, Mammalia, Primates, Hominidae.
GAUUCUCCUGCCUCAGCCUCCUGACUAGCUGGGAUUACAGACUUACAGAACAUUUUUCCUGAGAGAUGAUCAAGCUUCCAUGGGUUGUUUUCAGUCCUGGAUUUAUAAUUCCAGAGUUUUCAGCAGUGCUGACAAUUGUCUAUGCCAUGAUAAAAAGAGAACGAAAAUGUGUUGGAAGAGGCACCUGGGAGUGUAGUUGUCUCAGAGGGAACACCACAUUUGUUCCUAUGACACAUUUUCAUUGAAAGAAAAAAGAAA